Molecule: long non-coding RNA, 695 nt
Organism: Setaria italica (foxtail millet)
Lineage: Eukaryota; Viridiplantae; Streptophyta; Magnoliopsida; Poales; Poaceae
Exons: 3
Source: RefSeq, a predicted model, not a curated record
GUCCACCCACCGGUGGAGCCGAACCGCAGCGCCGGCAGCGGCAGGCAAAGCAUCGGCUUCACGCGAUCUCCUAGUCUCACACUGCUCUUGACGCUCGAUUCUUACCCCCCCCCCCCCCCAAACGAAGCCGACGACAGGCACAUCGCGCUCGAGUCGGGCUCGUCGGAUGGCGGCGUCCGGAGGAGUCGCCCGCGGCCGCCUCGCCGAGGAGCGCAAGAGCCACCCCCAUGGAUUCGUGGCGAAGCCGGAGACGCUGCCGGAUGGGACCGUCAACCUCAUGGUCUGGAAGUGCGUCAUACCCGGCAAGGAAGGCAUUAUGCCGGAGUACAGGAAACUUGUUCGUCAGCAGGCGAAGCUAUAUCCUUCGCUCGUGUAGCACUGUACCGUCUACCACACGCUUGCAGGCUUGCAGGCUCCAUUUUGGUGGAGCGGAACUUGUCAUGAUUGUGUUUAUGAUUACCCACUGGAAUUUUCAUCAUAUUCGUACUCUUAUUGGAACCGCUAAAAUGCACUUCAAAUGCAUGUAAUACUUAUUGCUAUGGCUUAUCAGCAUAUUGUGGUGCCUAAACUGUGGAAAGCUCUGUUCAACUGUGGAUAUUUACAGUUUUUGCGAAUAUGAGGGACGCUCAUUGCCAUAGUAAAAAAAAAGAAAGAGGAGUUACUUCCCUCAAUGCAAGUAAAAGUUAUAUGGCUGA